AUACGGAGGUUGCGAGCGUUAAUCGGAAUUACUGGGCGUAAAGCGUACGUAGGCGGUUGGUUAAGUUAGAUGUGAAAGCCCCGGGCUUAACCUGGGAACUGCAUUUAAAACUGGCGAACUAGAGUUGAGUAGAGGGGAGUGGAAUUUCAGGUGUAGCGGUGAAAUGCGUAGAGAUCUGAAGGAACACCAGUGGCGAAGGCGACUCCCUGGACUCGAACUGACGCUGAGGUACGAAAGCGUGGGUAGCAAACGGGAUUAGAUACCCCAGUAGUCC
This 274-nucleotide ribosomal RNA is filed under the name uncultured bacterium. RNAcentral describes it as "partial 16S ribosomal RNA". It matches the Rfam family "Bacterial small subunit ribosomal RNA", at positions 523 to 796 of the family's 1533-position model. The record is from RNAcentral.